UGUUUGAUGUUCUAACGUGGACCCGUGAUCCGGGUUGCGGACAGUGUCUGGUGGGUAGUUUGACUGGGGCGGUCUCCUCCUAAAGAGUAACGGAGGAGCACGAAGGUUGGCUAAUCCUGGUCGGACAUCAGGAGGUUAGUGCAAUGGCAUAAGCCAGCUUGACUGCGAGCGUGACGGCGCGAGCAGGUGCGAAAGCAGGUCAUAGUGAUCCGGUGGUUCUGAAUGGAAGGGCCAUCGCUCAACGGAUAAAAGGUACUCCGGGGAUAACAGGCUGAUACCGCCCAAGAGUUCAUAUCGACGGCGGUGUUUGGCACCUCGAUGUCGGCUCAUCACAUCCUGGGGCUGAAGUAGGUCCCAAGGGUAUGGCUGUUCGCCAUUUAAAGUGGUACGCGAGCUGGGUUUAGAACGUCGUGAGACAGUUCGGUCCCUAUCUGCCGUGGGCGCUGGAGAACUGAGGGG
RNAcentral lists this ribosomal RNA (459 nucleotides) under Shigella sonnei. RNAcentral's name for it is "partial 23S ribosomal RNA". It matches the Rfam family "Bacterial large subunit ribosomal RNA", at positions 2211 to 2669 of the family's 2925-position model. The record is from RNAcentral. Lineage: Bacteria; Pseudomonadati; Pseudomonadota; Gammaproteobacteria; Enterobacterales; Enterobacteriaceae.